Molecule: long non-coding RNA, 517 nt
Organism: Gallus gallus (chicken)
Lineage: Eukaryota; Metazoa; Chordata; Aves; Galliformes; Phasianidae
Source: Ensembl
AAGGGGAGGCAAUGUUCUCUUUCUGGAGAUCUCUGUAUACCUGAGGGCUUCUCAAGGCUUUCCUCUGUUGUAAGCAAAUGCAUUGUGCACUCUGACAGCCUGAAUAAGGCAAGGUUGCACUGGCAACAAAGUAACCUGUUAGUGUUACAGAGGAUAACACCGAGUUGCUGAAGAUCAUAAAAUGCCCAUAAAAAAGAAGAAAGAGUAUGUAAAUAAAGCAAGUAAGAUAACAACAAGAGCACUAAUUUUUCAUGCCCCUUUGGGACUGCUUUGGACUGCUGAAAGCAAGAGAUAAGAUCACUGGAUUCACCUGGAGAUUACAUUUACUUCAGAUAUGUGCAGAAGGGACUCAUGAGAAAAGGAAGUAUUUACAUUCUGGCAUGUUAAUGAGUUUCCAUCUUUUUUUUCACCUCUCUUUCCCCUUGUUCACUCUUGUAAUGUUUGUUUGUUUGUUUUCCAUCUGUUAAAAGAUGGGGAAUAUAUAUCCGCUUCACUGGCAUUGCAAGCACAUAUACAC